CACACCUUCUCCUGUCCGCUCACUGUUCUGUUGACUUUGGAGAGGCCUUCCCGGAACCCCGAGUCCGUCAUCCUUUGGGCAGACACCAGAAUUCAACACACCAAACCUGAACCCAGGCCCUGCCAUUUCCAGCCUGUAGAAUCCUCAGAAAGCCAUUCCCUGCCUGGGGCCACGCCUGGAAAACUGCAUUUGGCGAAGAAUUUCCACAGGCUCCCCAAGAGGCCGCAGUGGGAGAAUGGAACCAGGGAGUCUGCUAGGCACAUUGCCUGGUCUGCGGCAAUCAGUAAAUACUGGUUGUUCACUUUGGCUUCGGGAACUGGGGCUGUCUUGUUUAUCGGUAGCCUUCCCGCAAAUAUUAAGAACAGCAUUGUUCACUUGA
This is a long non-coding RNA of Octodon degus (degu), 379 nucleotides long. RefSeq lists it as uncharacterized. The record is from RefSeq and is a predicted model, not a curated record. The transcript has 2 exons. Lineage: Eukaryota; Metazoa; Chordata; Mammalia; Rodentia; Octodontidae.